This 112-nucleotide non-coding RNA is filed under the name Hyphomicrobiales bacterium. Its description in RNAcentral is "Rhizobiales bacterium TPP sequence". It matches the Rfam family "TPP riboswitch aptamer (THI element)". Rfam says of the family: Vitamin B(1) in its active form thiamin pyrophosphate (TPP) is an essential coenzyme that is synthesised by coupling of pyrimidine and thiazole moieties in bacteria. The previously detected thiamin-regulatory element, thi box was extended, resulting in a new, highly conserved RNA secondary structure, the THI element, which is widely distributed in eubacteria and also occurs in some archaea. Analysis of operon structures identified a large number of new candidate thiamin-regulated genes, mostly transporters, in various prokaryotic organisms. Lineage: Bacteria; Pseudomonadati; Pseudomonadota; Alphaproteobacteria; Hyphomicrobiales. The record is from RNAcentral.
CUCGCUCUAACGGGGUGCCGGGCGGGAAACCGCGCCGGCUGAGAGGCGAAGAUGCCAACCCGCUGAACCUGAUCCGGCUCGUACCGGCGGAGGGAUUAGACGCUGCAUCGCA